CCUACGGGGCGCAGCAGUGAGGAAUAUUGGUCAAUGGGCGGGAGCCUGAACCAGCCAAGCCGCGUGAAGGAAGAAGGCGCCAGGCGUCGUAAACUUCUUUUGUCGGGGAACAAAGGGCGCCACGUGUGGCGUUGUGAGUGUACCCGAAGAAAAAGCAUCGGCUAACUCCGUGCCAGCAGCCGCGGUAAUACGGAGGAUCCGAGCGUUAUCCGGAUUUAUUGGGUUUAAAGGGUGCGUAGGCGGUUUGAUAAGUUAUAGGUGAAAUGUCGGGGCUCAACCCCGAAACUUCCUC
Molecule: ribosomal RNA, 292 nt
Filed under: uncultured bacterium
Lineage: Bacteria
Description: partial 16S ribosomal RNA
Rfam family: Bacterial small subunit ribosomal RNA
Source: RNAcentral